RNAcentral lists this ribosomal RNA (252 nucleotides) under uncultured bacterium. RNAcentral's name for it is "partial 16S ribosomal RNA". It matches the Rfam family "Bacterial small subunit ribosomal RNA", at positions 524 to 776 of the family's 1533-position model. The record is from RNAcentral.
UACGGGGGAGCAAGCGUUGUUCGGAUUUACUGGGCGUAAAGGGCGCGUAGGCGGCGCAACAAGUCACUUGUGAAAUCUCCGGGCUUAACCCGGAGCGGUCAAGUGAUACUGUCGGACUAGAGUACAGAAGGGGCAACUGGAAUUCUCGGUGUAGCGGUGAAAUGCGUAGAUAUCGAGAGGAACACCUGCGGCGAAGGCGGGUUGCUGGGCUGAUACUGACGCUGAGGCGCGAAAGCCAGGGGAGCGAACGGG